This 484-nucleotide ribosomal RNA is filed under the name uncultured bacterium. Its description in RNAcentral is "partial 16S ribosomal RNA". It matches the Rfam family "Bacterial small subunit ribosomal RNA", at positions 29 to 507 of the family's 1533-position model. The record is from RNAcentral.
AUUGAACGCUGGCGGCUUGCUUUACACAUGCAGGUCGAACGGCAGCGCGGGCUUCGGCCUGGCGGCGAGUGGCGAACGGGUGAGUAAUACAUCGGAACGUGCCCAGUAGUGGGGGAUAGCUCGGCGAAAGCCGGAUUAAUACCGCAUACGACCUGAGGGUGAAAGCGGGGGAUCUUCGGACCUCGCGCUAUUGGAGCGGCCGAUGGCAGAUUAGCUAGUUGGUGGGGUAAAGGCCUACCAAGGCGACGAUCUGUAGCUGGUCUGAGAGGACGACCAGCCACACUGGGACUGAGACACGGCCCAGACUCCUACGGGAGGCAGCAGUGGGGAAUUUUGGACAAUGGGCGAAAGCCUGAUCCAGCAAUGCCGCGUGUGUGAUGAAGGCCUUCGGGUUGUAAAGCACUUUUGGCGGGAACGAAAAGGACUGUGCCAAUACUACGGUUCGAUGACGGUACCCGCAGAAUAAGCACCGGCUAACUACGUG